UAAGGAAUAUUGGUCAAUGGACGCAAGUCUGAACCAGCCAUGCCGCGUGAAGGAUGAAGGCCCUCUGGGUUGUAAACUUCUUUUAUCUGGGACGAAAAAAGGGGAUUCUUCCUCACUUGACGGUACCAGAGGAAUAAGCACCGGCUAACUCCGUGCCAGCAGCCGCGGUAAUACGGAGGGUGCAAGCGUUAUCCGGAUUUACUGGGUUUAAAGGGUGCGUAGGUGGGUAGGUAAGUCAGUGGUGAAAUCUCCGGGCUUAACCCGGAAACUGCCAUUGAUACUAUUUAUCUUGAAUACUUUGGAGGUAAGCGGAAUAUGUCAUGUAGCGGUGAAAUGCUUAGAUAUGACAUAGAACACCAAUUGCGAAGGCAGCUUACUACACAGUAAUUGACACUGAGGCACGAAAGCGUGGGGAUCAAACAGGAUUAGAUACCCCUGUAGUCC
This 444-nucleotide ribosomal RNA is filed under the name uncultured bacterium. RNAcentral describes it as "bacterial SSU rRNA". It matches the Rfam family "Bacterial small subunit ribosomal RNA", at positions 355 to 796 of the family's 1533-position model. The record is from RNAcentral.